ACGAGUGGCGGACGGGUGAGUAAUGUCUGGGAAACUGCCUGAUGGAGGGGGAUAACUACUGGAAACGGUAGCUAAUACCGCAUAACGUCGCAAGACCAAAGAGGGGGACCUUCGGGCCUCUUGCCAUCGGAUGUGCCCAGAUGGGAUUAGCUUGUUGGUGGGGUAACGGCUCACCAAGGCGACGAUCCCUAGCUGGUCUGAGGGGAUGACCAGCCACACUGGAACUGAGACACGGUCCAGACUCCUACGGGAGGCAGCAUG
This 261-nucleotide ribosomal RNA is filed under the name uncultured bacterium. RNAcentral's name for it is "partial 16S ribosomal RNA". It matches the Rfam family "Bacterial small subunit ribosomal RNA", at positions 91 to 353 of the family's 1533-position model. The record is from RNAcentral.